RNAcentral lists this long non-coding RNA (368 nucleotides) under Bos taurus (domestic cattle). RNAcentral describes it as "long non-coding RNA NONBTAT018362". The record is from RNAcentral. Lineage: Eukaryota; Metazoa; Chordata; Mammalia; Artiodactyla; Bovidae.
CCACUAAAUAACUGUGAUUUUAUUUUAUUUUUUUCACAAAAUACAAAGCUUUGCACCACAUUAUAUUAGUGUUCUACCACAAGAAAAUCCCAGUGUUUUUUAUUGGGGGAGAGAAGUGAUUUAUAUAUAAAUAUUGAUAAGGAUACUGAUUUUAUACAUUCUUAAAAUAAUAAAAUUACCAUGACAAAGAAAUGCCAACCCUGUAUAACAUGCAGAUUAUUGCUUAUAACUUGCAUAUAUUUACUUUAAACUGGCACACAUACUAAGUAUACAAACAUUCCAAAUUUUUAAGGGAAAUACACAAAGAUGUCCAGAAACCCCUCUAAAGCACAACCAGAAACAAAAAAGAACACUAAAUUGCUAUUUUA